UACGUAGGGUGCGAGCGUUGUCCGGAAUUAUUGGGCGUAAAGAGCUUGUAGGCGGUCUGUCGCGUCUGCUGUGAAAAUCCGGGGCUCAACCCCGGACUUGCAGUGGGUACGGGCAGACUAGAGUGUGGUAGGGGAGACUGGAAUUCCUGGUGUAGCGGUGAAAUGCGCAGAUAUCAGGAGGAACACCGGUGGCGAAGGCGGGUCUCUGGGCCGGUACUGACGCUGAGGCGCGAAAGCGUGGGGAGCAAACAGG
RNAcentral lists this ribosomal RNA (253 nucleotides) under uncultured bacterium. Its description in RNAcentral is "partial 16S ribosomal RNA". It matches the Rfam family "Bacterial small subunit ribosomal RNA", at positions 524 to 776 of the family's 1533-position model. The record is from RNAcentral.